CCCUGGUGGUUCAAAUGGUAAAGAAUCUGUCUGAAAUGCAAGAGACCUAGGUUUGAUCCCUAGAUCAGGAA
This 71-nucleotide transfer RNA is filed under the name Bos taurus (domestic cattle). It matches the Rfam family "tRNA". Rfam says of the family: Transfer RNA (tRNA) molecules are approximately 80 nucleotides in length. The record is from Rfam by way of RNAcentral. Lineage: Eukaryota; Metazoa; Chordata; Mammalia; Artiodactyla; Bovidae. RNAcentral also lists the same sequence under 2 other names.